UACGGAGGGUGCAAGCGUUAUCCGGAUUCACUGGGUUUAAAGGGAGCGUAGGUGGGCUGGUAAGUCAGUGGUGAAAUCUCUGAGCUUAACUCGGAAACUGCCAUUGAUACUAUCAGUCUUGAAUACCGUGGAGGUCAGCGGAAUAUGUCAUGUAGCGGUGAAAUGCUUAGAUAUGACAUAGAACACCAAUUGCGAAGGCAGCUGGCUACACGAAUAUUGACACUCAGGCUCGAAAGCGUGGGGAUCAAACAGGAUUAGAUACCCUGGUAGUCCACGCCCUAAACUAUGGAUACUCGACAUACGCGAUACACUGUGUGCGUCUGAGCGAAAGCAUUAAGUAUCCCACCUGGGAAGUACGAUCGCAAGAUUGAA
RNAcentral lists this ribosomal RNA (372 nucleotides) under uncultured bacterium. RNAcentral's name for it is "bacterial SSU rRNA". It matches the Rfam family "Bacterial small subunit ribosomal RNA", at positions 524 to 898 of the family's 1533-position model. The record is from RNAcentral.